This is a non-coding RNA of Pelobates cultripes (western spadefoot toad), 225 nucleotides long. NCBI's taxonomy places the organism in Eukaryota, Metazoa, Chordata, Amphibia, Anura, Pelobatidae. The record is from the annotation of a GenBank genome assembly.
AAAUUAAAGCCCUUUCUGUCCUUUAAAAAACGAUAUAUUAUAUGUGUCGGUGCAAUAAAUUAGUAAAAUGCAAAUUGCAGUUGAACACAAACAACAAAAAAUUCAAUAAUUGCUUGUGUCAUUAAGCAUAAGACAAGCUUCUGAAGCUGUGUCCUUAAGGGGUUAACUAGAUAAAAUUAAAAACAAAUCAAAUAAACCCAAAAAUAGCACUAUUAUAAAUAAAAG